GACGAACCGUGCGAACGUUAUUCGGAAUCACUGGGCUUAAAGCGCGUGUAGGCGGCCCGGCACGUCCGUCGCUGAAAUCCCCGGGCUCAACCUGGGAACUGCGCUUGUGACUGCAAGGCUAGAGUACGGCAGAGGGGGGUGGAAUUCCACGUGUAGCAGUGAAAUGCGUAGAGAUGUGGAGGAACACCAAUGGCGAAGGCAGCCCCCUGGGUCGAUACUGACGCUCAUGCACGAAAGCGUGGGUAGCAAACAGG
RNAcentral lists this ribosomal RNA (254 nucleotides) under uncultured prokaryote. RNAcentral's name for it is "partial 16S ribosomal RNA". It matches the Rfam family "Bacterial small subunit ribosomal RNA", at positions 524 to 776 of the family's 1533-position model. The record is from RNAcentral.